AUUGAACGCUGGCGGCAUGCCUUGCACAUGCAAGUCGAACGGUAACAGGUCUUCGGAUGCUGACGAGUGGCGAACGGGUGAGUAAUACAUCGGAACGUGCCCGAUCGUGGGGGAUAACGAAGCGAAAGCUUUGAUAAUACCGCAUAAGAUCUACGGAUGAAAGCAGGGGACCGCAAGGCCUUGCGCGAACGGAGCGGCCGAUGGCAGAUUAGGUAGUUGGUGGGAUAAAAGCUUACCAAGCCGACGAUCUGUAGCUGGUCUGAGAGGACGACCAGCCACACUGGGACUGAGACACGGCCCAGACGCCUACGGGAGGCAGCAGUGGGGAAUCUUGGACAAUGGGCGAAAGCCUGAUCCAGCCAUGCCGCGUGCAGGAUGAAGGCCUUCGGGUUGUAAACUGCUUUUGUACGGAACGAAAAGACUCUUUCUAAUAAAGAGGGUCCAUGACGGUACCGUAAGAAUAAGCACCGGCUAACUACGUGCCAGCAGCCGCAGUAA
RNAcentral lists this ribosomal RNA (498 nucleotides) under uncultured bacterium. RNAcentral describes it as "partial 16S ribosomal RNA". It matches the Rfam family "Bacterial small subunit ribosomal RNA", at positions 30 to 523 of the family's 1533-position model. The record is from RNAcentral.